CAGGGAGACAACAAAAUGUUUAAUAUUAUUAUUUUGUCACCUUAGGUCGAUCGGUAUCUCACGUUCUUGAUUUAUUAAGAAUUUCAUUUCCUAAGUUUUUCUAGGUCACACCCAUUAUUUUCCCUGGGCCAUUAGCUCAGGUGGUUAGAGCGCACCCCUGAUAAGGGUGAGGUCCCUGGUUCAAGUCCAGGAUGGCCCAUAUCUCUAUGUUGGGGGUAUAGCUCAGUUGGUAGAGCGCCUGCUUUGCAAGCAGGAUGUCAGCGGUUCGAGUCCGCUUACCUCCACUGAUUACCACCUCUUCCAUAGUCUGUAUAAGGGAAAUGUUUUGAGUUGUGAUCAAAUUCUGAACGAAUCUAGCUUCCUAAUUACAUUAUUAAGAUGCUGGACUCAUUGAAUUAAUUUCAUUGUUUUCAGAGAACCUUGACAACUGCAUAGAUUAUUUUUAAAGAGAAUAAGCAUCUUUAAUGAUGCAGAUUUAUUAUUUGUGCGAAUGCAUUAAUAACAAUUCUAUUAAGCUGAUGCUUCAAUUUUGAAGUUAUU
Molecule: transfer RNA, 540 nt
Filed under: uncultured Prochlorococcus sp.
Lineage: Bacteria; Bacillati; Cyanobacteriota; Cyanophyceae; Synechococcales; Prochlorococcaceae
Description: partial 16S-23S ribosomal RNA intergenic spacer
Rfam family: tRNA (bases 212-284)
Source: RNAcentral